This 1088-nucleotide long non-coding RNA is filed under the name Pandoravirus quercus. Its description in RNAcentral is "hypothetical ncRNA". The record is from RNAcentral.
GUCGUGGUCACAGUCCAUCUCGACAAUCCAGCGCGUGGGGUCGUCGUCGUCUUCGACGACACCGGUGGCGCCCUCGCCGCCCGAGCCCUCGGCGGCGCCCGACACGUCCGACGUCUCGGCAAUGACCGUGGGCACGCACGCCAUGUCCUGGCGCUUGCUCGACGGCCCAUCGUAGCAGCCAAAGACGAUCUCGUCGCGCCGGGCGCUCUUGACCACGCGCAGGCUCAUGGUCUUGGGGAUGGCACCCAGGCACGCCUUCAUGACCUUGGUGAGCACGUGGAAGCGCGUCAUGCGCUCGGUGGAGACGACGGUGCCCGUCGCGUCCCUGACGCAGUUUUCCAGGCCACCAUAGGUGGCGAUGGCGCCGGCGCUCACAUAGGCCGUGUCGCACGAAAACUGGGCGCGCACAUAGCACGUCUGGCUCUUUUCCAUGCCCGAGAUGCGCACGCCGCAAAAGGCCCCGCGGUUGUCGAUGAUGAGCGGCAGCCGGUCGUCGAGCAGCGUCGACACCGACUCGAUCAUCUCGCGAAAGACGGCCGGCUGACCAAUGACCAGGUAAAAGUCGAUGAGGUCGCCGACGCCCGUCUCCAGGUCGGUGGUGCGACUGUUGGUGGCUGACGCUACCAGUUGCAGCAACUGCGCCCGGUAGGUCGGGUCGUCCUCGACGUCGGAGCCGCCCGCGCGGAGCACCGACCCGUCGGGUGCCAGGAUGUCGCCGCGCGCCCGCUUGGACCGCGGCGCCGACGUGAGGCUCCGGCCCGAGUCGGACGCGACGUCGCUCUCAUAGUCGCUGUGGGCGUCGUUGCUCCGGUUGAUGACGCAGUCGAUCACCUGGUCGAUCUCGUCGAUCGGGCGCUUGUUGGGCCGCGCGCGUUCUUGCGUGCCAACGGCUGCCAAGGAAGGCGACGACGGAUUUGUGUCUGUGGUCUCCAUUGUUGUUGAUGUUGUUGCGACGGCGGCGGCGAUGGUGGUUGAGGUGCAGCAGUCUUACUAUGCACUGUAAAUCGGUGCGGAUGAGAUGGGCAACGGGGGAAAGAAAAUCACACACGCACAGUGUGUUUUGUGUGUAGUUUUUUCUUUUUUGCGCG